CUCCUAGGAAGUCUUCAAAGUUAGGAGAGGGAUUUCCUAGUCUACACAUUCAUCAGUCACUGUACUAUAGAUUCUCCUCCACUGCCCUCUUAAAUACUGUAUCUAAAACAAAAUGCUAGCGUAAGAGGGACCCUACUAACACCCUAAUCUACACAAAACAAGCUCAGCUGCAGCGAAUUCAUUGUACUCUCAAAUCCCAAAUUUGUUGCCAAUAUUUUAAUUAGAUAAUCACCUUGGGUUAAGUCAAAUCUUAAAUUACCAAGUAGUACCAGUAGUUAAACUUAAUCAGCAAUUCUAGCCAAACUAUUCUCUCAGUUUGCGGCUGGCUUUAUUUUCUGCUCAGUAGGAUAAGUUCCAAUAUGGUACAAGACUCUUCACAAACAGGACGGAUGGCCUCCUCACAGAAAAUCUAAAUCUCUAAAUGAAUAAGAUUAGACUAUUCCUAGUAUAGAAGCAAAGAGAGAACACCUCCAUCCAAUUAUUUUCUGUGUAGCUAGGAGUAUCUUUGAGUGCCACAUUACUCCAGGGAAGCUUGUCUUCCAUUGCCAACUACAAUUUGAAGGCCUAGCAAUGUUGGCAAUAUCUUGCCUUUAUAUCUAUUCAAGGACCAAAACUGUGUCUUUGCUUCUACCACAUUUUUUUGGAAACUCAUCUUCCACUGAGACAUUCUGUUUCUAAGUGUAUACAAUCAGGAGAUUUGCCUUUGGGGGUUGCCAGAUCCCUUCCUAUCUCCUUGCUGCUGGCAUCUCAUAUGGCCUUGUCAUGAGGCACACUGUCUGCAGUCUUCUGCAGUCCAGCCAGACAGUUCCCGUCACUGUAAGUACUUCCUCUGUCAGAGCAGACACACUAACUGAAGCCACAGCCGGAAGCAGGCUGACCACAAGCUCUAGGGUUCUGCUUAGUUCUUUUCUAGGUAAAGUUGGAAAAGUCCCUGCAAAGGCAAACACUGGAGUUUUAGAAAUGGGGGAGGCACUGACUAGCCUCUUCAAAUGUUCUUGCCUGGAAAGAGGUUGUUGAAGAGGUUGUUCCAAGAAAGACUCCUGAACAUCCAUCACCUCCUCAGAGAAAGACUGCUCAGGUGGAAAAAUGGAGAUGCUGAAGAGAGAGGGUCCAUGAAGGUGAAAACUCAGUCUUGUCCACUGAGCAGUAAGCAUGUCUACUUCCUCAGAGGUGAAGGUGGUGGAGACCUCUCUCCUCCAGGCUGCAGCUGCCUCCCAGGGCAUGGGCGUGGGCAUGUGCCCAGCUCCAUUACAGGUUUGUCUCUGCUGUGGCUUUCGGGCAUGAUUUUGCACACAGAAGUCAGACAAGGAAAAGGGGUCUGGCUUCUGACUCCGCUUUUAAUUUGUUCCAAGAUGUUGACCAAGCCAUCUAACCUCUCUGGACCUCCAGUUCCUCAUCUGUAAAGAAUUUCUGAAGCCAUACCAAACCUUACAACCACUGGCUCGACAUAAACAUCUAGUAAGGAGGAAAAGAACAGGAGUAACUGAAGUGGCCGUUCCAGAGGCAGAGUGGCACAGCCAGGCCCAGGGGGUGGGGAGCUAUCAACUCAUUAUCCUCUGACCCUGUCCUAGAUGCUGCCACAGAUGACCGGAGGAGAAAAUGGUCAAGAGAAAGGGGGACUUAUAAGUCCUUGAAGUGAAACAAGGACAUGAGAGACUCAGAGUCAGUGAAGCUGCAUGAGAAAUGCUCAGUGGACCUUGCUGGCCUGGAGGAUGGAGGAUGGGCCAGGAGUCCAGGAUUUCAGUCAACCUUGAGAAGCACUUUCUGUCAACACCCUGCUUUUAGCCCAGUGAAAACCUUUUGAGACUUCUGACCUCCAGAAUUGAAUAUAUCCUGUGCAUUCACCUUGCCCCCCAAGCACUGCUGCCCCACAGCAUGGAACAGAAUGGAGUUUUGGAAGGACUUCAUUAAAGGCAGCUUUCCCCAAGGCUUCCCAGGACAUUAGUUUGAAGAAUUUUGUGAAGAGCUAAGGUUCAAAGCUAUACUUCUGAAGACUUCCAAAUCAGAAAUGAUGAACAUGUAUAAUCAAAGCCUUACUCUGUUCACAUAGUGGAAGGAAAAUGGGUGUGUCAGGAAGGAGGGAUGAUAGAGGGGCAGAAGGCAGGCAGGUCCGUGAAACCAGAACCACUUGGAGUGAGGGACAUUAGCACUGCCACUCUGAAGUGCAGGGAGGACUCUACCAAGGCAGCCUGGAGUCUGAUGAGUUCACAACUCAGCAGGCAUCAGCUCCUCUAAGAGGCCUCCCUGGCCCCUACACACUGUUCAGUUCCCCUCCUCUAAACCCACAAAGCCCCUGUGAUUAUAUCAUGAAGCACUCAGCACACUGCACCACAAUCCACUGUUGGCCCUUGUCAUGACUUGUAUCUAGAUGUCCCCCCAAAGCCUCAUGCCGUCACAAGUGAGGCUUUUUCAGAGGUGGCUGGAUCUAGAGUGUGUGAUGCUGGAACUGAUUCAUGGUGCAACACUAGCCUCAAGGGCACUAGGAUUAAGAGGGUGUGUGCCACCCUCCCUAAGCAGUCUGGAUAAGUUAAAAAGGGACAGAAAGACCCUGUUUGCUUUCGCUGUCUCCUGCUUGCCAUUAACUGUUUCUCCUCUGCAAUGCCCCUCUGCCAAGCCACCCUGCCUUAGAGCCAGCCAAAAAGAGAGGGAAACCUCUCUUUUCCCUCUUUAACUUUGGGUGUCAGGUAUUUUGUCUCAGCAAUGAGAGAAAAUUAACUAAGACAGCCCUAGUGGCUGCAGCCCUAGAUGCUCACCUCUGAUGGGUAAGGUCUGCCACCACCAGUGCCAGUUGCAGAGCAGAGAUUCACCUGAUGCACGUGACACAGACCUGCACAGACAUCCUCUCUACCUACUUUCCUUUUGGAGUCUAAGGUUGGUGGAGACCAGUGACACUGCACGGAAAUGGUACAGGGCACUAAUCACCAAGCUCAACCUAGAAACAACCCCCAACAACAGGGCCCACAAAGAUGGCAUAGAUGAACCACUUAGCCUUAGUUCUCUGAGAGUUCCUCACUCCCCUUCAGACAGCCUCCCUCAUGACUAAAGGGUGUAGCCUGUCAGGUGGAAGAAUAGAGGAGACCAGGGACAGUCAUCUUGAGACACAGAAAUAGCAGCUAAAGAGACAAUGAGCAGACUGUGGGGCUUUGAGGUGAGAGAGUUCUGCUCUGUCUGACUGAGCUGAGCAGUCUGAGCCCAUGGACCUGAGACUCAGGGUUCUCAGUGCUGAGAAGGAAAGAUGGAGUAAUUGACAAGGUAGCUGGCACCAGGAACCCAUGCUCUGAUGCUGACUAUGAUGUUAGUGGCCAAAACUGACUGGAAGCAAAGUAAAGAAAGGGCUCCAGACUGUAUGAAGGGCACUGCCACACAGCACUGGGGUCUGACAGUGGGGUUUGUGGGUAGUCAACUGAUGGCCAAUUAAUGACUGAGACGGUUUUUUAAAGUUCAGGCCAAGAAGGUGAUAUUGCAGAUUUCUUCCAGCUCUAUUUCAUUGUUCUGCCUUACUGUUUAACAAUGUAACUUCCAGCUUAGCUGAAAUCACACAGAUUCUGUGGCAAAUUUUAAGUAACAGCAAUAAAAUGUGGCAACAUCAAAUGGUCCAGCCACAGUUGUAGAGGGCCAUGAAGUCACCUGUUGCACAAAGUCAGGGACAUGGUGUAUAUAUAGGUAUACCUUCCCCUUGCCAGAUAUGGACUAGCAUAAUUUCCUUUUUGUACCAUCACCAUUCGAUCACAAAGAACUACCAGUGCCAAUGUCCUUGUUAGGAAGAAACACUCCAUCUUAUCAGAGAUGCCUGGGUGUACUUUCCCUGUUCAUCCUUCCACCACUCAGGCAGAGGGCUGGUUUCCCAAGGUUCAAGAGUCAGCAGCAAAACCAGGCAGAGGCCCAGGUCCCAGAGCUCCAGCAUGCUUCUCCCAGGCGGGGAUAGGCCUCCACAGAUCUAGGCCUAUCUUGUCUUUCCAGCUUUUGCUGCUGGAAACUUCACAAAAGAGAUAACAUGUCCCCUGUUGUAGCAUUUAGUCAUAGUAUGAUCAUCAAUCUCUGACUCAAGCCCCACUCCCUAAUCAUAUCCCCUAAUCAUAAGCAGUACUAAUAUAAAUAAUCUUUAGCAUCUAGGAUAUUCUAAGUGGCCGGGAAAUUACUGUUUUGAUCCCAAAACAACAAAAUGAACAAAAGAUUUCUGAAAUAAUCAACAAAGACUUCCGAAUACUUAGUUGUUUAACAUUUCUUGUUUGGUGCUAGGGAUUGAACCCAGGGCCUCAUGCAUGCUAGGCAAGCAAUCUACCACUGAGCUGUAUCCCUAGCCCUGAGUACUUAUUUGUGUAAAACAGCAGAAGGCAGGUGCUUCAUUCAGUCAUUCAACAAAUAUAGUCAUGUAUUACUUGAGGGUGGAAAUAUGUUCUAAGAAGUGUGUUGCUGGGUGAUUUUGUUGUGCAAAGAGCAUAUUUAUAAACCUUCAUGGUACAGCCUACCACACUUAGGCUAUAUGGCAUAUACUAUCAUAUAUGAAGUCUAUCACUGAUCAAACUGACAUUAUGCUGUGCAUGACUUUAGUAAUUAGAACUUUCUAUGUACCUGUUUUUUAAAAAUCUGAUGUAUUUAAUGUAUUUAAUAAAUACAUGUAAAUCUAAUGUAUUUAAUAAUCCAUCCAUCCACUUUCUACAUAAGCACCUGUAUGCCAAACAGUAGCAAGAUACAGGUAUAUGUAGGCACCUAUACACACUGAACAAAUACAUAUAAAGCCACCUGGUGAACGAGACUGUGAUCCUUGGUCCUGUGGAGUCACUAGGGAAGACAGGAACACAUCAACCAUCUAGAAUUUUGUGCCAGACAAUCAUACUGGAUCCUCAACUCAAGCAACCUGAUUAUAGUGAGAGGAGUUGAACUGUCAGAGGAAGCCAGGCCCCGGAGCGUCCC
Non-coding RNA from Heterocephalus glaber (naked mole-rat), 4914 nucleotides. The record is from RefSeq and is a predicted model, not a curated record. NCBI's taxonomy places the organism in Eukaryota, Metazoa, Chordata, Mammalia, Rodentia, Bathyergidae.